CCUACGGGUGGCAGCAGUGGGGAAUAUUGCACAAUGGGCGCAAGCCUGAUGCAGCCAUGCCGCGUGUGUGAAGAAGGCCUUCGGGUUGUAAAGCACUUUCAGCGGGGAGGAAGGCGGUGAGGUUAAUAACCUCAUCGAUUGACGUUACCCGCAGAAGAAGCACCGGCUAACUCCGUGCCAGCAGCCGCGGUAAUACGGAGGGUGCAAGCGUUAAUCGGAAUUACUGGGCGUAAAGCGCACGCAGGCGGUCUGUCAAGUCGGAUGUGAAAUCCCCGGGCUCAACCUGGGAACUGCAUUCGAAACUGGCAGGCUAGAGUCUUAUAGAGGGGGGUAGAAUUCCAGGUGUAGCGGUGAAAUGCGUAGAGAUCUGGAGGAAUACCGGUGGCGAAGGCGGCCCCCUGGACAAAGACUGACGCUCAGGUGCGAAAGCGUGGGGAGCAAACAGGAUUAGAUACCCGUGUAGUC
RNAcentral lists this ribosomal RNA (465 nucleotides) under uncultured Klebsiella sp. RNAcentral's name for it is "bacterial SSU rRNA". It matches the Rfam family "Bacterial small subunit ribosomal RNA", at positions 338 to 795 of the family's 1533-position model. The record is from RNAcentral. Lineage: Bacteria; Pseudomonadati; Pseudomonadota; Gammaproteobacteria; Enterobacterales; Enterobacteriaceae.